AGAUUGAACGCUGGCGGCACGCCUUACACAUGCAAGUCGAACGGCAGCACGGGAGCAAUCCUGGUGGCGAGUGGCGAACGGGUGAGUAAUACAUCGGAACGUGCCCAAUCGUGGGGGAUAACGCAGCGAAAGCUGUGCUAAUACCGCAUAAGAUCUACGGAUGAAAGCAGGGGAUCGCAAGACCUUGCGCGAAGUGG
RNAcentral lists this ribosomal RNA (197 nucleotides) under uncultured soil bacterium. RNAcentral's name for it is "partial 16S ribosomal RNA". It matches the Rfam family "Bacterial small subunit ribosomal RNA", at positions 26 to 224 of the family's 1533-position model. The record is from RNAcentral.